This 482-nucleotide ribosomal RNA is filed under the name uncultured bacterium. RNAcentral describes it as "partial 16S ribosomal RNA". It matches the Rfam family "Bacterial small subunit ribosomal RNA", at positions 29 to 507 of the family's 1533-position model. The record is from RNAcentral.
ACGAACGCUGGCGGCGUGCUUAACCCCUGCAAGUCGAACGCUGAAGCUCAGCUUUUGUUGGGUGGAUGAGUGGCGAACGGGUGAGUAACACGUGAGUAACCUGCCUCCUUCUUUGGGAUAACGCCCGGAAACGGGUGCUAAUACUGGAUAUUCACUGGUCUUCGCAUGGGGGUUGGUGGAAAGGGUUUUUCUGGUGGGGGAUGGGCUCGCGGCCUAUCAGCUUGUUGGUGGGGUGAUGGCCUACCAAGGCUUUGACGGGUAGCCGGCCUGAGAGGGUGACCGGUCACAUUGGGACUGAGAUACGGCCCAGACUCCUACGGGAGGCAGCAGUGGGGAAUAUUGCACAAUGGGCGCAAGCCUGAUGCAGCGACGCCGCGUGAGGGAUGGAGGCCUUCGGGUUGUGAACCUCUUUCGCUCAUGGUCAAGCCGCAACAAUGGUUGUGGUGAGGGUAGUGGGUAAAGAAGCGCCGGCUAACUACGUG